UCCACGACUCUCAACUGUACAUUUUCACACCAGUUACUGUGCCCAGUAGUUGGAGUGCUAGCUGGGGUGUGCGGAUUUCUUCCUUCCCCUUUUCAUUCGUUCAAGCCAUUUUCGUUCUCUCUUUCGUUCUCCUUUCCGAAGCUCGGAGCCGUUGAACCGAGAGCAGGGUUAGACUGAUAAUAGUGGCAAGUCUGCAGUUGACAAAGGGAGAAGUCCUGUUUGGCUGAUGUAUUGUUGUUGGGCCCUUGAGUGAGUUUAUUAUGUUAAUUUGGUCGAUUUCUUUCUUAUCACAUUUCAUUUUUAAUUCUAGUGUAAUAUUGAAAAAAAAUAAAUAGAUAAUUUCUUUGGCGUGUUGGCAGAAGAUUCGUUUUUAUUUUCAUCAUAUAGUGAACGGUGGAUUGGUAUUCUGGAA
Non-coding RNA from Cajanus cajan (pigeon pea), 412 nucleotides. NCBI's taxonomy places the organism in Eukaryota, Viridiplantae, Streptophyta, Magnoliopsida, Fabales, Fabaceae. The record is from RefSeq and is a predicted model, not a curated record.